ACAGUUUUAUAGAGCUGAGUUUUCUUUUAGUUGAGAUUGUAAUUAUCAUUUAGAUUAUGGUAAAAAAAUUAGUGAAUGGAUACUGAACUUUUGAUUUCGGUAAAUUAGGUGCUAUAUGUCCAUGGAAUUAUAUAGUACCUUUAUUCACAAAUAAAAGGAAUUUUGACAUCUACAACGCACAUGAAUAUUAUUGUAUAUAUUUUUUGCUCCGUCGCAACGCACGGGCAGUUACCUAGUAAAACUAUAAGACACAUCACUGAGCACGACCUCCUUGCCCGCAAAAUAGAAAAAAAAAGAACAUUACACACAUGCAUGAUAGGAAACUACUGAGGUUUAAUCCUAAUUAUGACAUCAUUAUACUGAUGAACUGAUCCACC
Molecule: long non-coding RNA, 377 nt
Filed under: Sorghum bicolor (sorghum)
Lineage: Eukaryota; Viridiplantae; Streptophyta; Magnoliopsida; Poales; Poaceae
Description: long non-coding RNA (SBIC_LNC000588)
Source: RNAcentral